Long non-coding RNA from Austrofundulus limnaeus, 1621 nucleotides. RefSeq lists it as uncharacterized. The record is from RefSeq and is a predicted model, not a curated record. The transcript is spliced from 3 exons. Lineage: Eukaryota; Metazoa; Chordata; Actinopteri; Cyprinodontiformes; Rivulidae.
UUGUAUUAUGUUAACUCCAAAACUUAAUCAGUUGUAGAUGAAUGAUUACUUACUGAGACCUUCACUAAAUCUGUCCUGUGGCUCAUGAGAUGUUUUGCUAACAGACAGACGGCAUUAACUAACACUUAUUGGCAAAGUUUGAAUCAAAGAUGAACAACAUACAGUGCUCAGUGUUAUUGUUUUGAAUGAUUCUCAGCCACUAAAAUACUCAUUUUAGCUCAAUACCUGUGACAUUGUCCGAGCUGAUACACGUAAUUUAUUCUAAGCAGUUAGAAAACAGUUUUAUUCAGAUCCUGGGAGACAAAGAGUUCAAUCCCAGCAGACAAGGCUCCAUUGUCCUCAGGAGCUGGUCCUGCUGAAACCCAGCAGAUCCUAACAGCAGCAUAUAGACUCAUAUACAGUCCAACACUUUCUUACAGCUGCAACCUCGAGACUUUCAGUCCAAUGCAGAGAAGCACUUGGUGAAUCCACUCUGGAUGAGUGAAGGGAGCAGAGCUCCAAGUUAAACACAGCCCGUCAUUUCUUCAUCCACGGUCCUCACAAAGACACUAUUCAACACACAACUGCUGUGUGUCAUAAUCGGAGCCAGGCCCUGGCUUUUCUUUUGUAUCUGCCUCUGGAUGUUGUGUUUAUUUUAGGAACCAGCUGAGUUUGGAGCCACAGAUGAUGGACACGGAGUUUCUUUGAGUCAGACGGAUCUACAGCUCUUCUUACAGAACCUCCUGGGUCUCUGAGCAAGUAAACGAGAUACCUUGAAACCACCCAAGGAGAGAGGGAGACCAGGAAGAGAACUCAGAGUCUGUCUCAGGAUCUCACUUCAUCUCAGCACCAAGACAUACUGAAGAUAUAUCAAGAACAUGAUGGAAAUCAUCGAAACCUUUUGGCUGUUCAUUCUCCUGAACCAGCUGCUGCUGAUAGAUUCGACGUCUACAGAUCAGUCCCUUUUAACCACAAACACAUCCCAAACCGGUGACUAUAGUGACAGGGACAGAUCUGUGGUCUUCACAAAUGAAAGCUACCAGAACUCUGAUAACAGCACCGUUGUUCCUCGUGGUGACUGCCUGAUUGACACAGAGAUGGGUCUAAUUGCCAUUGGUUCAGCAGGAGGACUCAUUUUCUGUUUGCUGGUUGCCACCUUCAUAUUAGCAUGUCAAGUCUGCAUCCUUCAGCGUCGGGUCUAUGCCCCUCCAACGUCACUGUCCAACAUGGACUUGGUGAGUGAUGCGCAGUACUGGAGCACAGACCAAGCAGAGACCAGAGGACUAGUUGGACCAUGUGAUACUGAUGUCAUGCUUGAAGAGGUGAGAGUAGAAAGCAAGUCAAAAGGAAAAAAGCAAGCUGAGCUACCAGAGGAGGCUGAUGGAGGACGACAGGAAGGGUCAACAGCUAAAUCUUCUGAUCCUGAAGAAAAGGUAAUGCACAUCCAAAGUUCUAGUUCCAGGGAUUCCUGUUUGGAGGUUCCCAAGGACUUAGAGGACAUGCCCCUUGUUGUCUAAAGAAGAACCCCAUCAAUCCAGGCUUUCUGUAGCAUCUACUUACAGUAUCUAAUGAGAAAUUUAAUGUGCUAACACUAAUUAAAUGUAUGUGUCAACCAAACAGAAUCAAAUCUUCAUUUUAUAUC